Molecule: ribosomal RNA, 253 nt
Filed under: uncultured bacterium
Lineage: Bacteria
Description: partial 16S ribosomal RNA
Rfam family: Bacterial small subunit ribosomal RNA
Source: RNAcentral
UACGUAGGGCGCAAGCGUUGUCCGGAAUCAUUGGGCGUAAAGAGCUCGUAGGCGGCCUGUUGCGUCCGCUGUGAAAUCCCGGGGCUUAACCCCGGGCGUGCAGUGGAUACGGGCUGGCUGGAGGCAGGCAGGGGAGAACGGAAUUCCCGGUGUAGCGGUGAAAUGCGCAGAUAUCGGGAGGAACACCGGUGGCGAAGGCGGUUCUCUGGACCAUUACUGACGCUGAUGCUCGAAAGCUAGGGGAGCAAACAGG